GACGAACGCUGGCGGCGUGCCUAAUACAUGCAAGUAGAACGCUGAAGAGAGGAGCUUGCUCUUCUUGGAUGAGUUGCGAACGGGUGAGUAACGCGUAGGUAACCUGCCUGGUAGCGGGGGAUAACUAUUGGAAACGAUAACUAAUACCGCAUAAAAUUGAUUAUUGCAUGAUAAUUAAUUGAAAGAUGCAAUUGCAUCACUACCAGAUGGACCUGCGUUGUAUUAGCUAGUUGGUGAGGUAACGGCUCACCGAGGCGACGAUACAUAGCCGACCUGAGAGGGUGAUCGGCCACGCUGGGACUGAGACACGGCCCAGACUCCUACGGGAGGCAGCAGUAGGGAAUCUUCGGCAAUGGGGGGAACCCUGACCGAGCAACGCCGCGUGAGUGAAGAAGGUUUUCGGAUCGUAAAGCUCUGUUGUAAGAGAAGAACGGGUGUGAGAGUGGAAAGUUCACACUGUGACGGUAUCUUACCAGAAAGG
RNAcentral lists this ribosomal RNA (481 nucleotides) under Streptococcus sanguinis. RNAcentral describes it as "bacterial SSU rRNA". It matches the Rfam family "Bacterial small subunit ribosomal RNA", at positions 28 to 491 of the family's 1533-position model. The record is from RNAcentral. Lineage: Bacteria; Bacillati; Bacillota; Bacilli; Lactobacillales; Streptococcaceae.